Molecule: unclassified non-coding RNA, 302 nt
Filed under: uncultured Sordariomycetes
Lineage: Eukaryota; Fungi; Ascomycota; Sordariomycetes
Description: sequence contains ITS1
Rfam family: 5.8S ribosomal RNA (bases 1-105)
Source: RNAcentral
GAAAUGCGAUAAGUAAUAUGAAUUGCAGAAUUCAGUGAAUCAUCGAAUCUUUGAACGUACAUUGCGACCGCCAGCACACUGGCGGGCAUGCCUGUUCGAGCGUCAUUUCAACCAUCAAGCCCCCGGGCUUGCGUUGGGGACCUGCGGCUGCCCGCAGGCCCGGAAAACCAGUGGCGGGCUCGCUGUCACCCCGGUCGUAGUAGUAUCAUCUCGUCCCGGGCCUGGCUGCGGACUCCGGCCGUUAAACCUUAAUAAACCCAAAGGUUGACCUCGGGUCAGGUAGGAAUACCCGCUGAACUUAA